This 714-nucleotide ribosomal RNA is filed under the name uncultured bacterium. Its description in RNAcentral is "bacterial SSU rRNA". It matches the Rfam family "Bacterial small subunit ribosomal RNA", at positions 8 to 739 of the family's 1533-position model. The record is from RNAcentral.
AGAGUUUGAUUAUGGCUCAGGAUGAACGCUAGCGGUGUGCUUAAAGCAUGCAAGUCGAACGUGAUCCCUUGGAUUCGUCUGGGGGUGAAAGUGGCGAACGGGUGAGUAACGCGUUGGUGAUCUGCCCCGGAGUGGGGGAUAACUAUUGGAAACGAUAGCUAAUACCCCAGAUGUUAUCGUCUUUGGAAAACGAUGACUAAAUGUUCAGGCGCUCCGGGAGGAGCAGCGUCCCAUCAGCUAGUUGGUAAGGUAACGGCUUACCAAGGCAAAGACGGGUAGGGGGCGUGAGAGCGUGGCCCCCCACACUGGUACUGACACACGGACCAGAUACCUACGGGUAGCAGCAGCUAGGAAUAUUGGACAAUGGGCGAAAGCUGAUCCAGCAACACCGCGUGGAGGACGAAGGCCUUCGGGUCGUAAACUCCUUUUUGGGGGGAUGAGAAAGGACAGUACCCCCAGAAUAAGGCCCGGCUAACUACGUGCCAGCUAGCCGCGGUAAUACGUAGGGGCCAAGCGUUAUCCGGAUUUUCUGGGCGUAAAGCGCAUGUUAGGCGGUUUGCUAAGUCGGACGUGAAAGCUCCUGGCUCAACUAGGAGAGGUCGUUCGAUACUAGUAGACUAGAGGGUGGUAGAGGAGAGCGGAAUUCCAGGUGUAGCGGUGAAAUGCGUAGAUAUCUGGGUGGAACACCCGUGGCGAAAGCGCUCUCUGCCACGU